This 468-nucleotide ribosomal RNA is filed under the name uncultured bacterium. Its description in RNAcentral is "partial 16S ribosomal RNA". It matches the Rfam family "Bacterial small subunit ribosomal RNA", at positions 28 to 507 of the family's 1533-position model. The record is from RNAcentral.
GACGAACGCUGGCGGCGUGCUUAACACAUGCAAGUCGAACGGAAAGGCCCUGCUUUUGUGGGGUGCUCGAGUGGCGAACGGGUGAGUAACAAGUGAGUAACCUGCCCUUGACUUUGGGAUAACUUCAGGAAACUGGGGCUACUACCGGAUAGGAGCUCCUGCUGCAUGGUGGGGGUUGGAAAGUUUCGGCGGUUGGGGAUGGACUCGCGGCUUAUCAGCUUGUUGGUGGGGUAGUGGCUUACCAAGGCUUUGACGGGUAGCCGGCCUGAGAGGGUGACCGGCCACAUUGGGACUGAGAUACGGCCCAGACUCCUACGGGAGGCAGCAGUGGGGAAUAUGGCACAAUGGGCGGAAGCCUGAUGCAGCAACGCCGCGUUCGUGAUGACGGCCUUCGGGUGGUAAACCGCUUUCGCCUGUGACGAAGCGUGAUUGACGGUAAUGGGUAAAGAAGCACCGGCUAACUACGUG